GAUGAACGCUGGCGGCGUGCCUAAUACAUGCAAGUCGAGCGAACAGAUGAGGAGCUUGCUCCUCUGACGUUAGCGGCGGACGGGUGAGUAACACGUGGAUAACCUACCUAUAAGACUGGGAUAACUUCGGGAAACCGGAGCUAAUACCGGAUAAUAUAUUGAACCGCAUGGUUCAAUAGUGAAAGACGGUCUUGCUGUCACUUAUAGAUGGAUCCGCGCCGCAUUAGCUAGUUGGUAAGGUAACGGCUUACCAAGGCAACGAUGCGUAGCCGACCUGAGAGGGUGAUCGGCCACACUGGAACUGAGACACGGUCCAGACUCCUACGGGAGGCAGCAGUAGGGAAUCUUCCGCAAUGGGCGAAGGCCUGACGGAGCAACGCCGCGUGAGUGAUGAAGGUCUUCGGAUCGUAAAACUCUGUUAGUAGGGAAGAACAAAUGUGUAAGUAACUAUGCACGUCUUGACGGUACCUAAUCAGAAAGCCACGGCUAACUACGUG
This 497-nucleotide ribosomal RNA is filed under the name uncultured bacterium. RNAcentral describes it as "partial 16S ribosomal RNA". It matches the Rfam family "Bacterial small subunit ribosomal RNA", at positions 28 to 507 of the family's 1533-position model. The record is from RNAcentral.